UAUUAUACUAAUAAAUAUUAUUAACCUGAAUUAUUAAUAGAUAUUUUCUUUAAAUUUGAAGAAUUUGGCGGUGAUUUAGUCUUGUUAGAGGAACCUGUUUUUGAAUCGAUACACCACGUGGAAUCUUACUCAUUUUAUUUAGUUUAUAUACCGUCAUUAUCAGAUAAUUUUUAAAAAAUUAAUUAUUAUAGUUUAAAGGAAGUUAAAUUAAAUUAGAUCAAGGUGUAGCUUAUAAAUGAGUUAAAAUGGGUUACAAUAAAAUUUAUUUAUUACGGAGUAAUUAAAGAAAUAAUAUUAUAAAGGAGGAUUUAAUUGUAAUACAAGUUCAAUAAGCUUGAAAG
RNAcentral lists this ribosomal RNA (341 nucleotides) under Paraxanthus barbiger. RNAcentral describes it as "partial 12S small subunit ribosomal RNA". The record is from RNAcentral. Lineage: Eukaryota; Metazoa; Arthropoda; Malacostraca; Decapoda; Xanthidae.